GGAUGUGAGGGCGAUCUGGCUGCGACAUCUGUCACCCCAUUUAUCGCCAGGGUUGAUUCGGCUGAUCUGGCUGGCUAGGCGGGUGUCCCCUUCCUCCCUCACCGCUCCAUGUGCGUCCCUCCCGAAGCUGCACGCUCGGUCGAAGAGGACGACCUUCCCCGAAUAGAGGAGGACCGGUCUUCGGUCAAGGGUAUACGAGUAGCUGCGCUCCCCUGCUAGAACCUCCAAACAAGCUCUCAAAUAAGUUAUGAAAAAAUUUAAAAAAGCAUUCUCUGU
Molecule: small nuclear RNA, 276 nt
Filed under: Jaculus jaculus (lesser Egyptian jerboa)
Lineage: Eukaryota; Metazoa; Chordata; Mammalia; Rodentia; Dipodidae
Description: 7SK RNA (ENSJJAG00000007548.1)
Rfam family: 7SK RNA
About the family: 7SK was discovered as an abundant small nuclear RNA in the mid-70s but a possible function has only recently been suggested. Two independent studies have found that 7SK RNA binds the CDK9/cyclin T complex (known as elongation factor P-TEFb). P-TEFb activates transcription by phosphorylating the C-terminal domain of RNA polymerase II.
Source: Rfam by way of RNAcentral